This 400-nucleotide ribosomal RNA is filed under the name uncultured bacterium. RNAcentral's name for it is "bacterial SSU rRNA". It matches the Rfam family "Bacterial small subunit ribosomal RNA", at positions 356 to 773 of the family's 1533-position model. The record is from RNAcentral.
GGGGAAUAUUGCACAAUGGGGGAAACCCUGAUGCAGCGACGCCGCGUGAGCGAAGAAGUAUUUCGGUAUGUAAAGCUCUAUCAGCAGGGAAGAUAAUGACGGUACCUGACUAAGAAGCCCCGGCUAACUACGUGCCAGCAGCCGCGGUAAUACGUAGGGGGCAAGCGUUAUCCGGAUUUACUGGGUGUAAAGGGAGCGUAGACGGCAAGGCAAGUCUGAUGUGAAAACCCAGGGCUUAACCCUGGGACUGCAUUGGAAACUGUCUGGCUCGAGUGCCGGAGAGGUAAGCGGAAUUCCUAGUGUAGCGGUGAAAUGCGUAGAUAUUAGGAAGAACACCAGUGGCGAAGGCGGCUUACUGGACGGUAACUGACGUUGAGGCUCGAAAGCGUGGGGAGCAAAC